This 492-nucleotide ribosomal RNA is filed under the name uncultured bacterium. RNAcentral describes it as "partial 16S ribosomal RNA". It matches the Rfam family "Bacterial small subunit ribosomal RNA", at positions 29 to 507 of the family's 1533-position model. The record is from RNAcentral.
AUUGAACGCUGGCGGCAUGCUUUACACAUGCAAGUCGAACGGUAACAGGCCUUCGGGUGCUGACGAGUGGCGAACGGGUGAGUAAUGCAUCGGAACGUACCCAGAGGCGGGGGAUAACGCAGCGAAAGCUGUGCUAAUACCGCAUGUGAUCUGAGGAUGAAAGCGGGGGACCGAGCAGCAAUGUUUGGCCUCGCGCCUUUGGAGCGGCCGAUGUCGGAUUAGCUAGUUGGUGGGGUAAAGGCCUACCAAGGCGACGAUCCGUAGCUGGUCUGAGAGGACGACCAGCCACACUGGGACUGAGACACGGCCCAGACUCCUACGGGAGGCAGCAGUGGGGAAUUUUGGACAAUGGGCGCAAGCCUGAUCCAGCAAUGCCGCGUGAGGGAAGAAGGCCUUCGGGUUGUAAAACGCUUUUGGCAGGAACGAAACGGUGUCCGCUAAUACCGGGCGCUAAUGACGGUACCUGCAGAAUAAGCACCGGCUAACUACGUG